This 4875-nucleotide long non-coding RNA is filed under the name Linum usitatissimum (flax). RNAcentral's name for it is "long non-coding RNA (LUSI_LNC005324)". The record is from RNAcentral. Lineage: Eukaryota; Viridiplantae; Streptophyta; Magnoliopsida; Malpighiales; Linaceae.
UAAUUAAUUAAAGCGACAAACAUAUGUUACUUAUAAUUCGCAGCAGUAAAAAAGAACUAGAUGGUGAAAAAGUUAAAAUAAGAUAAAAAGAGGUACAGAAGGUAAGUAUGAAAAUGUCUGGAUUUUGUAUUCAAUCUGAGCUGAAAUGGUACAAUUCAAAGUUUAUGCUUCGGUUUGAGUAAUCUGAGUAAUUGAAAGUUAUGUUUCGGUCUGACUUCUGAGUCAACUGGGGUGGACUUUUUAGGAUGAGAAAUUACGAAUACAAGUACAAAAUUUGUUGUUUUGAGUUCCUUCGCAAAGAAAAUCAUACUAGUGUAGUUGGUGAACGAAAUGUUUUGGCCUUUCGAAUUUCGAAUUGCCACGACCUGCUUCAACCUAACCGUUCAAUUUCCGAUCGAGUCAACGGUCACCAUCAAUCGUUCAAGAGCGGGUCGUACUUCUCUCCAUCGCAAUUCACUAUCUCUCGUUGAUAAAGAACCUACAAACAAUUCGUCUAGAACCAACAUGCACCAGUUGAUUUCGAAAGCUAAGGAUAGAUUCCAGUUGUGCUUUUUCGAUUCCUCUGUUUUGAUUCUAUGUCGUAGUUUCCUGAUUACUGCCUCCGUAUGGAUUGGUGGUUAGGAAAAAUCCAGCGGGUUCCGCCGCCGACCAGGGAUUCUACAAUCAGUUUUGAUUUUGAUUCCUUUUGAUUGGUUCUUUACUAAUUUAUUUGAUUAUUGUUGUCCCCUAUAUACUUCAAUUCUUAAACAGGAAUCAAAUUUUCCCUUUUUAGCUUCGCAGCUUGAAUAUUAUUUUAUGGAACAUUGUAUAAAAAAUAAUUAAUUCACCCCAUCAUAAUUCCUCCCAAGGAUCCAACACUUCCUCAAGAUAUUGGCAUUUUGAAUUGAUGAACAUAAUUUAUUUUGAUUUCUCAAUCAAUUACUUUUCAUGCUCCUUAGCUAUAAUUCAUAAUGCUCUAAUUUCUGUUUUUUUUAAUCUUCAUAUUAUAUAAUCUCAUAUUUUUAUUGGUAAUUAUCCUUAAUUAUUUUUUUAUUUUUGAGUCUUUCUUUAUCCGACCUUCGUUUACAGAAGUAAAAAAAUAAUCUGCCUUUUGAACCCAAUGAAUUAGAUUGGAACCAUUUUAUACUUGAAGUGUAUUUGAAGAACAUAAAAGUGACUGUUGGGAGCUGUAGGGUGUUUUAUGAGCAUACUUAUUUAGCUCAAUCGGUUUUUUUUUUUUUCUUUUUUUUUUUUUAUUUGCUAGAGUAAAUUAGUGAACCGAUGGGUGUUUUGUUUUGAUUAUCGCAGUGUAAACUAUCGUAGCUUAUUGUUAAUGAAACUCUAUGUGCUUAAAUAGUUAAACAGAAUCCAACUUUUAUUUUUUAAAUCUCAUGCAUUAGAUUGGGACCAUUUUAUGCUUUAAGUAUAUUUUAGGAACAUAAAAUUAACUCUUUGAAGUUUUAUUUUUUUGUUAUAAUUUUGCUUAUUUCCUGUUAUUGGUUUGUUGUAAACUUAUAAUUAGUUGUAGAUACAUGAAUUGUAAGAAAUGCUAUAUGUAUCGAGCUGAUAUAUAUGGAGAACAACACUGAAUUUAUGAUGGUUGAAAAGGAGGCGAGGAGGUGGAAUAUUUGGGCGGUUGAUUGUUGGUUGGAGGAACUUUUGCUAGAGAUGACAAAUUAGUUGUUUUAAUUUUUUGUUGUCAUACAUAAUUGUGGACUAUUAAUUCUUAAUGAUUAGGAAGGAUUAUUAUUCUGUACAUCUCUGUUUUGAAUUUUGAGUUGGAUAUUAUUUUUAGUACAAAGUUAGUAAUGAAGGAUUUCAAGUUAGUAAUGAAGGAUUUCUAACUCGAUUUUUUAGUACAAACUCAUGUUUGAAUCGUCGACAUAUGACUUAAGACCGUACGUACUUCAACUCGUGGACCAAUGCAGAUAAAACUUUUAGAAAAACCGUUGGUACCUAAGUUAGUUUCCACGGGAUGAGUGCAACACAUGAUAGGCUACUAAAAAAAAUUAAGAAAAAAGCUAAAAUGUGAGUUAAAAAAUAGAAAAAGAUGAUUCACAGUCACAAAAAAAAAAGUCUGUAAAAGCAUUAAAGAGGUUUAAAUAGAUUUAGAAUAUAAAAAGAAAAAAUAUAGUCUUUCUCUUAUCAAAUCAAGAUUAUAAUUAAAAAUUAAUCUAAACUGUCAAAUAAAAGCUAACAAUAUUAAAAUAUCCUAACAAUUAAAAUAAAAAAAGUGUUUUAACCUUAGAUUUUUUAACAUAUCUCAACAUCAGUGAUAAAUAAAGGCAAUAAAGAAAGCUGUCACAUGCUAAUUUUAAACUUAUGAAUAAUGGUGAAGUAGAUAUUAAUUCUUUGCGUUAAUCCAAAGUUUUCAUUCCCCCACAACAUGGUCUAGCUUGUUUCCACUAAACCCUCUAAUUUUCUUUUCAACUAAUUCCCAUAAGGUCAAUAUUGGUGAUUGACCGUUUCAAGCCGACCUUCAGGGUUUAAUCGCCUGUUUUUAGUGGGCCUCGUUUGUAAAUGGACCGUUUAAUGGUAUUUGGCCGGCCAAGCUCAAAAGCUAUCAGACCUAAUUUGUUGUAGUUAGGUCAUCGCUUACAUGUGUAGAUGAUGGGAUAGCAACGAUUACAUCAAUCGUUAGGAUGAAACCAUCCAUCUCGAAAAUAGUUAAGCUAUGAAUACUGUCCGACUCACUUUAUAAAGGGAAGACUGUUAUAAUCUAGAAGUAACAUUCACUUGGUACGUAUAUUUUGCCGAUUCUCCCUUCUCUUUCGUAAUCCUACUUCAUUCUUGAACUUACUAUCUUACAUCAUCACUCAACUUAUGUGGGAUUCAUACAAUGUUGGACCAAAUGAUACAACUUGAAUCCAACGAUGGCAUACUUAGCCCAAUACUUGCCCUUCAUCAUCAACGAUAUGAUCUUGCUUAAGGGAAGUCACCAGUUGGCUUCCGCCACUUGGAAAAAUGACUCGUUUUUCAAGCGGACUAUAUAAAAUAAGGUGACCACUAUAUUUUUGACACUUCAUAUACUCUGAUCCCACACACCUACUCUAUAUACUAAUCCAAGCCAUAUGUAUAUGACUGGUUAUACGCUUUCAAACACAUCUCGCCACUUAUAUGUUUCCCAUAGAGUAUUUUCAUACACCUCAUUCCUCUCAUAUCACCACACUGUGAUAAACCGCCCAGGGACUCAAAGAUGGUUCACAAACAAAUGACUAUCAAUCUAUUCAAAACAACCCGACUCUCUAAAUUAAACCACUCAUUAAUAUUUAUCAACCAACUGAGCCCGCCGAACAAGGUAUUGAUUUGAUGAUUUUUUUUUAACAAAAGAAAGCUUAAUAAAAAUUACAGCAUUUUACCAUAACCAAAAGGAUAGAUCACAUUCCAUCACAAUCAACCUUCUAAGUCAGAUAUAAUACGAAAGUGCUUCCUAUCAAAUAGGUUGCCGGUUUGGGUUUGGAGGAUUCAUCAUCAGUUAACGGACGUGGAGCUUAUUAGUGACUGAUCCCUAACUUGAAGAGGUAGAACUGUAGAACCGGCACGCAAUCGCAAUCUCUCUCAAAAAGAGCCCAAAGGUUUAUACUUUUUUAACAAAAAAAAGGCCAUCUGUUGGCUUCCUAGCUGGCCAUUUCUUCUGGUUAAAUAGCGUGUCUUCUGGUUUUGAGGCCUAUCCAUCAUCUUAAAGUUGUUGGCAUUAUUUUAUUUCUUUUCGGUUUUGCUGCUACUGAAUACAGAUUACCCAUCUCCCCUUCGGUUUGGUGGAAGAAAGUUGGGAUCUUGUUUGGUUGAGGAGCCGAUGGGGAGGCUGUUUGUGGUGAGUCUUGAAGGGAAGAUCUAUAGCUGCAAGCACUGUAGAACCCAUCUUGCUCUUUCUGAAGAUAUUGUGUCAAAGGUUGUUGCUUUUUUCCUCUGUUCUGGUUUUAUUUUUUCAAUCGGUGAAGUUAUCUUGUGGAAUUUCUCAUCUGGGUUUCGUUAAUUGAGCUGGGGGGUUUUCUUGUGAUCGGAUUAGGGGAAAGUAGGGGAAAUUAGUUGAUUGAAUCGGAUUAGUUUUGUAGUAGUAGCAUUGUUAGUUGUAAACGCAUAGUUCUUUGCUUGGUGAACCGAUUAAGGGACUUGCGAAGUUGCAGACUUUGCAGUAGGUAUCAGUGAUUGAUCUUUUGCUUAUGUGAUCGGUAUGAUCUGAUGAACAUCUAAUGUUUGUUGAUCAGGUUUGCUGUACAAUAUGCCUAGGUAGGUGAACCAUAGGUCCAUAGCCAUUGCUAGUGUGGAUUGGUACUCUGGCUUUUCUUCUAUGCUUAGUGUGUACUCUUGAAUGUCUCAUUUUGUUCUAGCUUAAGUGUCCAAUUACUCCCUAUCCCGUCCUCCUUUGUGAAAACUUGGGACUUUAGCCUGGUAAAUCGAAUCAUAUGAACCUAUGAGAAGCGAAACACUUUGAAUGCAAUGCAUUUAUUUCGUCCAACUAGUUAUGAAACGGUUUCUACCAUGCUGCAGCUCAAAUAUUGCUAGUUUUCAUUCGUUCCCUCGAAAUUUUGUUGGGAAAGCGAGGUUCUGACCUAUUGUGCCUGUGUAUCUUUCCAGUCCUUCCACUCCAGGCAUGGGAAAGCUUAUCUUUUCAGCAAAGUGUAAGUUGUCACUGGUUUCAUCAACCAACCAUCAGUUUCCUCAUUAUGCCUGUAAUCGAUAUAAUCGGAAUGCCAUAUAGAGUAAAGAUUGCAUCUUUUCCCAGAUAUCACUUGGUAAUUCUGUCUUCACAUGUUUGUUUCAGAGUGAACGUAACUAUGGGAGAGAAAGAGGAGAGAUUAAUGAUGACCGGAAAGCAUACCGUUGCUGACAUUUUCUGUGUCGGAUGUGGAUCAAUUGUGGGCUGGAAAUAUGUAAGAUUCACCUGAAAAAAAA